UAGAUUAAAUCACUUUGAUCACUAAAUAAAUAAUAUUAAAAAUUUAAAAAAUUUAUUUUUUAAAUAUUUUAAAUAUGAUAAAUUAAGUCUAAUAAAGUUGAUUAUCGAUUUGAAAGUUUUAUCAUCGAAAACGGCUUAUGAGCACGAAGAUCUCUACUCUAAAUACUCAAUAUAUAGUAAAUGUUUACAAAGACUAAAAUAA
Molecule: long non-coding RNA, 202 nt
Filed under: Ananas comosus (pineapple)
Lineage: Eukaryota; Viridiplantae; Streptophyta; Magnoliopsida; Poales; Bromeliaceae
Description: long non-coding RNA (ACOM_LNC040510)
Source: RNAcentral